This 246-nucleotide long non-coding RNA is filed under the name Lathyrus oleraceus (garden pea). RNAcentral's name for it is "Pisum sativum (pea) long non-coding RNA (PSAT_LNC009510)". Lineage: Eukaryota; Viridiplantae; Streptophyta; Magnoliopsida; Fabales; Fabaceae. The record is from RNAcentral.
UUGGUUGCAAGACUAAGAAAGUAUCUCAAAGAAAGUAGUACUAACUCUUCAAAAAUUACUAUUUAGCAUGCAAAAAGCUUCCCUAAACAUAUCAAAUCACUCACAUGUAACACUCAAGUGUUUCAGUUUCCAAGAGAUGCAAUGAUGGCACUUUCGAAAGGAUGUUUGACGACCCUCAGUAGAACGAUAAGUAGACCUCGUCAGUAGUGAAUGGGUAGUCAUGCCCAGGAUACUCGAAAAAGUCGG